This 880-nucleotide ribosomal RNA is filed under the name Vibrio sp. DPR1. Its description in RNAcentral is "bacterial SSU rRNA". It matches the Rfam family "Bacterial small subunit ribosomal RNA", at positions 61 to 922 of the family's 1533-position model. The record is from RNAcentral. Lineage: Bacteria; Pseudomonadati; Pseudomonadota; Gammaproteobacteria; Vibrionales; Vibrionaceae.
GUCGAGCGGUGAGGGAGCUUGCUCCUGGAUUCGACGGCGGACGGGUGAGUAAUGCCUGGGAGUCUGCCUGGUAGUGGGGGAUAACUUCCGGAAACGGGCGCUAAUACCGCAUACGUCCUGAGGGAGAAAGUGGGGGAUCUUCGGACCUCACGCUAUCCGAUGAACCUAGGUCGGAUUAACUAGUUGGUGGGGUAAAGGCCUACCCAGGCGACCAUCCAUAACUGGUCUGAGAGGAUGAUCAAUCACACUGGAACUGAGACACAGUCCAGACUCCUACCGGAGGCAGCAGUGGGGAAUAUUGGACAAUGGGCGAAAGCCUGAUCCAGCCAUGCCGCGUGUGUGAAGAAGGUCUUCGGAUUGUAAAGCACUUUAAUUUGGGAGGAAGGGCAGUAAGUUAAUACCUUGCUGUUUUGACGUUACCUACCCAAUAAGCACCGGCUAACUUCGUGCCAGCCGCCGCGGUAAUACGAAGGGUGCGAGCGUUAAUCGGAAUUACUGGGCGUAAAGCGCGCGCAGGUGGUUCGUCAAGUUGGAUGUAAAAUCCCCGGGCUCAACCUGGGAACUGCAUCCAAAACUACUGAGCUAGAGUACGGUAGAGGGAGGGUGGGAAUUUCCUGUGUAGCGGUGAAAUGCGUGCGAUAUAGGAAGGAACGCACACUGGCGAAGGCGACCACCUGCCACUGAUACUGACACUGAUGUGCGAAAGCGUGCGUGAGCAAACAGGAUUGAGAUACAUCUCCCUAGUCCACGCACGUACACGAUGUCGACUAGCUGGUCGGGAGCCAUCCAGAUCUUACUGCCUGCAGCUAACGCACAUAAUCGACCGCCUGGCUGAGUACGUACCGCAGCGUUGAAUACUCAAAUGAAUUGAUGGGGGGCG